RNAcentral lists this ribosomal RNA (501 nucleotides) under uncultured bacterium. RNAcentral describes it as "partial 16S ribosomal RNA". It matches the Rfam family "Bacterial small subunit ribosomal RNA", at positions 30 to 523 of the family's 1533-position model. The record is from RNAcentral.
AUUGAACGCUGGCGGCAUGCCUUACACAUGCAAGUCGAACGGCGGCACGGGUGCUUGCACCUGGUGGCGAGUGGCGAACGGGGGAGUAAUACAUCGGAACGUACCUUAUCGUGGGGGAUAACGCAGCGAAAGUUGCGCUAAUACCGCAUACGCCCUGAGGGGGAAAGCGGGGGACCGUAAGGCCUCGCGCGAUUAGAGCGGCCGAUGUCUGAUUAGCUUGUUGGUGAGGUAAAAGCUCACCAAGGCGAUGAUCAGUAGCUGGUCUGAGAGGACGAUCAGCCAAACUGGGACUGAGACACGGCCCAGACUCCUACGGGAGGCAGCAGUGGGGAAUUUUGGACAAUGGGGGCAACCCUGAUCCAGCAAUGCCGCGUGAGUGAAGAAGGCCUUCGGGUUGUAAAGCUCUUUUGUCAGGGAAGAAACAGCAGCUCUAACACAGUCUGCGAAUGACGGUACCUGAAGAAUAAGCACCGGCUAACUACGUGCCAGCCGCCGCCGUAA